UACGUAGGUGGCAAGCGUUAUCCGGAUUUAUUGGGCGUAAAGGGAACGCAGGCGGUCUUUUAAGUCUGAUGUGAAAGCCUUCGGCUUAACUGGAGUAGUGCAUUGGAAACUGGGUGACUUGAGUGCAGAAGAGGAGAGUGGAACUCCAUGUGUAGCGGUGAAAUGCGUAGAUAUAUGGAAGAACACCAGUGGCGAAAGCGGCUCUCUGGUCUGUAACUGACGCUGAGGUUCGAAAGCGUGGGUAGCAAACAGG
RNAcentral lists this ribosomal RNA (253 nucleotides) under uncultured bacterium. Its description in RNAcentral is "partial 16S ribosomal RNA". It matches the Rfam family "Bacterial small subunit ribosomal RNA", at positions 524 to 776 of the family's 1533-position model. The record is from RNAcentral.